This 497-nucleotide ribosomal RNA is filed under the name uncultured bacterium. Its description in RNAcentral is "partial 16S ribosomal RNA". It matches the Rfam family "Bacterial small subunit ribosomal RNA", at positions 28 to 507 of the family's 1533-position model. The record is from RNAcentral.
GAUGAACGCUGGCGGCGUGCCUAAUACAUGCAAGUCGAGCGAACAGACGAGGAGCUUGCUCCUCUGACGUUAGCGGCGGACGGGUGAGUAACACGUGGAUAACCUACCUAUAAGACUGGGAUAACUUCGGGAAACCGGAGCUAAUACCGGAUAAUAUAUUGAACCGCAUGGUUCAAUAGUGAAAGACGGUUUUGCUGUCACUUAUAGAUGGAUCCGCGCCGCAUUAGCUAGUUGGUAAGGUAACGGCUUACCAAGGCAACGAUGCGUAGCCGACCUGAGAGGGGCGGCGGCCACCAGUAGAGUAAGACCCGGUACAGACUAAUACGGGAGGCAGCAGGAGGGAAUGUUCCGCAAUGGGCGAAGGCUCGACGAACCAUCGUAGCAUGAGAGAUGAAGGUUUUAGGAUCCUAUACCUCUGUUAUUAGUGAAGACCAAAUAAGCAAGUACCAAUGCACGUCUUGAAGCCACCUAAUCAGACGGCCACGCCUCACUACAUG